GCAGAGUAGGGUUUUGCGCGUUAAGUGUCGCUCGGACGGGGAGUUGCCGGGCGGACGAAAAGCCGGGUUCCGGCUUGCGGUGCAAGGCCCGCAUCCCGCUGC
This 102-nucleotide non-coding RNA is filed under the name chicken gut metagenome. RNAcentral describes it as "THF riboswitch". It matches the Rfam family "THF (Tetrahydrofolate) riboswitch aptamer". From Rfam's summary of the family: THF riboswitch presents a pseudoknot that joins P1-P2 and the loop of P3 and two THF binding. The record is from RNAcentral.